AGAGUUUGAUCAUGGCUCAGGAUGAACGCUAGCUACAGGCUUAACACAUGCAAGUCGAGGGGAAACGACAUCGAAAGCUUUGCUUUUGAUGGGCGUCGACCGGCGCACGGGUGAGUAACGCGUAUCCAACCUGCCCACCACUUGGGGAUAACCUUGCGAAAGUAAGACUAAUACCCAAUGACGUCUCUAGAAGACAUCUGAAGGAGAUUAAAGAUUUAUCGGUGAUGGAUGGGGAUGCGUCUGAUUAGCUUGUUGGCGGGGUAACGGCCACCAAGGCGACGAUCAGUAGGGGUUCUGAGAGGAAGGUCCCCCANAUUGGAACUGAGACACGGUCCAAACGUCCUACGGGAGGCA
RNAcentral lists this ribosomal RNA (354 nucleotides) under uncultured bacterium. RNAcentral's name for it is "bacterial SSU rRNA". It matches the Rfam family "Bacterial small subunit ribosomal RNA", at positions 8 to 350 of the family's 1533-position model. The record is from RNAcentral.